Molecule: ribosomal RNA, 663 nt
Filed under: Ruegeria pomeroyi
Lineage: Bacteria; Pseudomonadati; Pseudomonadota; Alphaproteobacteria; Rhodobacterales; Roseobacteraceae
Description: bacterial SSU rRNA
Rfam family: Bacterial small subunit ribosomal RNA
Source: RNAcentral
GAACGAACGCKGGCGGCAGGCCUAACMCAUGCAAKUCGAGCGCGCCCUUCGGGGUGAGCGGCGGACGGGUUAGUAACGCGUGGGAAUAUACCCUUUGGUACGGAAUAGCCUCUGGAAACGGAGAGUAAUACCGUAUGUGCCCUUCGGGGGAAAGAUUUAUCGCCAAAGGAUUAGCCCGCGUUAGAUUAGGUAGUUGGUGGGGUAAUGGCCUACCAAGCCUACGAUCUAUAGCUGGUUUUAGAGGAUGAUCAGCAACACUGGGACUGAGACACGGCCCAGACUCCUACGGGAGGCAGCAGUGGGGAAUCUUGGACAAUGGGGGCAACCCUGAUCCAGCCAUGCCGCGUGAGUGAUGAAGGCCUUAGGGUCGUAAAGCUCUUUCRCCUGUGAAGAUAAUGACGGUAGCAGGUAAAGAAACCCCGGCUAACUCCGUGCCAGCAGCCGCGGUAAUACGGAGGGGGUUAGCGUUGUUCGGAAUUACUGGGCGUAAAGCGCACGUAGGCGGAUCGGUAAGUYAGGGGUGAAAUCCCGGGGCUCAACCCCGGAACUGCCUCCAAAACUAUCGGUCUAGAGUUCGAGAGAGGUGAGUGGAAUUCCGAGUGUAGAGGUGAAAUUCGUAGAUAUUCGGAGGAACACCAGUGGCGAAGGCGGCUCACUGCUCGA